AUGACGCCCGGAAAUUACGGAGCCUCCGAGAGGGCGAUUGGGAGGCGACUCUCGAGUGAAGACGAGAAGAUCUUGCCGGAGGCAGGAUCCCAGGACCAAGGAUGGAAGAUAGCGGAGAAAGAAAGCAGAUCGGAAUUAGGCAAAGUGAGUGACCCGCUAGGGAUGCGAGAGGCAUGGCUCAAAACCAGGAAAGCGAUCAAGGAGUUGGCGGUGAGAAGGAAAAGCCAUGAUGGGGAUCGUAAGUUUUCCAGGAAACAGAUCCCGGAUGCGGAAGAACCUACAAUGGUCAGGAUCAGGGAAAAGAUGCGCACAAUGAGAGAGGAUAUGAAGAGCGGAUUGGGAGGGCUCGAUCGCCAAAAAGAAGUGCCUCAGGCAAGGGCCUCGCCGACGAAAGAUCCACCAGAUAAGGGCGGCGGGAUUGCAAGAUCUGAUGUAGAGGAAAGGGAUCACCUGGUAAGGAAUACAUCAACAAAAUCACUGGUUACCAUGUUACACCACGGAUCUGAUCGCGAAGGAACGGGUACAAAAGACCGGGGAGGGAAGGAGACGGAAACAAAAUCCACUUUGCCUUCGCUUGCCAGUGCUCAUCCAAAGCCAAUGGCGGGCCGUGAGUCCAAGGACAAGUCCAUCGUGGAGGUUGAGAGCGAGGCGCCGCGCCCCGGCGAUGGGAGCAACACUGCUCGUGUGCUCCUCCGUGGCGACUCCUCCCGUGGCCAGGAAGGAAGGGCAACCCUGAGAAGGUUGGGAGCCGGCGCUAGCACCGUCAUCCCUAGGUUCCCAGUUAACCUGGGGACGAGGAGAGACGGUGUGGUCGAGCUGGACCUCACCAAAGAGAGAGCCGCCAUGAAAAACCGGUGGAUUGCUGUUGGGCUCUACUUCUCGCCCUUGCCCUACAGCAAUGAAGGCCUCAUCGGCAACCUGAAGAACAAGUGGGGUCUCCGCGGCCACCUCGACUACAAGCCACUCAAGAAUAACCGCUUCCUCCUGGAGUUUGAACGGGAGGGAGACCGGCACUUCAUCCUCGACAACGGCCCUUGGACGUACAAUGGUGACGCCUUCCUGAUGGUGGCAAACGACGGCGGCAAGCCGCCGAACGAGGUGGAGGUCGCCCACAUGCCAAUUUGGGUGCGCAUCCACGAUGUCCCCCCGAUCAUGCUGGAUGAAGGGGUGGCCUGGAAGCUUGGCAGCAUGCUUGGAGAGGUGCUCGAGGUGGACACCAACAGGAGUGGUAAGGUCUGGGGUGACUUCAUAAGAGUCAGAGUAAACCAUGAUGUAGAUGAACCCCUCAGCAACAAAAUCACAACCCGAGAUAGGCCUAGUAAUGAGUUGUUUUUCCUUGAGCUUAAGUAUGAGAGAGUGCCUAGAUUUUGUGGGUAUUGUGGAUUUCUCGGGCAUGGCCAACGCGAUUGUAAGUUGCCGGUGGACCUCCAAGAGAUGAGGUACACGGCAACAAUGCGUGCCUCCCCAUACAAGAACAACAACAGCAAGGGAGGAUAUGUAGCUCCAGUUGCGGGUAGUGCUAGGCGUUUCCUCGGUUUCGGGAAGGAGUUGUAUGGAGGGGACAGGGCUCAUCAGCAUGGGCUGUCACAGGAGAAGAUCUCAGAGGAAGUUCUUGCCAAUCCUCUGGUGCAGGCAGCCAUAGCCGUUGUCAACGCGAUCAAGGUCUCCGACAGUGGCUCCCAGCUCGCAGCGCAGAUGACGCCCCCUGCCUUGGAUCAGUUUGGGAACGAGGUGGAAACAGGACAACAGGAAAAGAAACAGUCGGGUGAUGCAACUCCUCUGAAGGACAGGGUAAAUAUGGCGCCUUUGGUUCAGGAUAACACAGUGAGACAGGAUGCAGUGCACACAGAAGAAGGGGACCCUCCGUUCCCACCUGGUUUUGGUCCAGUGGCCCGGUUUGGAAGUGGCGAGACUAACACAAACCAGUCUGCCUCGCUGACUGGCAAGGCCGAAGCGGCGGUGGAGAAAUCAGCUGUGAAAGGUACCAGGAAGGCGAACACAAGUGCAGACCAGGUGAACUCUGUUCUUGGCAAGAGGAGUGACAGAGAGAAGGAAGAAGCGGACCAAGUAGAGACAGAAAAUGGGAGAGAGGUCGAAGAACAGAAGAAGAAGAUCAGAGGGACUGCAGAAGUUGAGGAUGGGCAGGUUCAGGUGGAGGGGGAUGGAAUGGAAGCAACCGGCAAUGGGGCUACCGGUAACCUGGUGGGCGCUGAGAUUGGCGCCCGCCAGGAGCCAUGA
This 2238-nucleotide ribosomal RNA is filed under the name Triticum aestivum (bread wheat). RNAcentral's name for it is "partial small subunit ribosomal RNA". Lineage: Eukaryota; Viridiplantae; Streptophyta; Magnoliopsida; Poales; Poaceae. The record is from RNAcentral.